AACGAACGCUGGCGGCAUGCCUAACACAUGCAAGUCGAACGAGACCUUCGGGUCUAGUGGCGCACGGGUUCGUAACGCGUGGGAACCUUCCCUUAGGUUCGGAAUAACUCUCCGAAAGGGGUGCUAAUACCGGAUAAUGUCUUCUGACCGAAGAUUUAUCGCCUUUGGAUGUGCCCGCGUUGGAUUCGCUCGUUGGUAGGGUAAAAGCCUACCAAGGCGACGAUCCAUAAAUGGUCUGAGAGGAUGAUCAGCCACACUGGGAGUGAGACACGGCCCAGACUCCUACGGGAGGCAGCAGUGGGGAAUAUUGGAAAAUGGGCGAAAGCAUGAUCCAGCAAUGACGCGUGAGUGAUGAAGGCCUUAGGGUUGUAAAGCUCUUUUACCCGGGAUGAUAAUGACAGUACCGGGAGAAUAAGCUACGGCUAACUCCGUG
RNAcentral lists this ribosomal RNA (433 nucleotides) under uncultured bacterium. RNAcentral describes it as "partial 16S ribosomal RNA". It matches the Rfam family "Bacterial small subunit ribosomal RNA", at positions 29 to 507 of the family's 1533-position model. The record is from RNAcentral.